RNAcentral lists this long non-coding RNA (3584 nucleotides) under Sus scrofa (pig). RNAcentral's name for it is "lncRNA (ENSSSCG00000058454.1)". Lineage: Eukaryota; Metazoa; Chordata; Mammalia; Artiodactyla; Suidae. The record is from RNAcentral.
AGGCUAUUGGGAAGUAACUAGGGGUGUCGGCCGAGUUCGGAUGUCUCCUUUUCUGAAGACCUGUUUAUCAAAUUCUCUCAGGCUGCCCCUGGCGAUGGAUUACUCACCCUUCAAGCUUGUGUGUUUCCCUUAGAGGCUUUUCAGUCAAACUAAGGGUAUUCUAGACCGGGAGGGAAAAAAAAAAAAAAAGUCUGCACCUCUUCUUCUUUUGUGUAAACUGUGAGCUGGAGCAAGUCUGUUCCUCUCUCUCUCCCUGGGCCCACAGCGCUCGGAGCUGCCAUAGGUCGGCUUGACGGAGGGAGGCAGGACCACGUCUCUGGUCUUUAAAAGGGUUGAGUGGUCAUGACUCAAAGGGUACACGUUUAUGGAGAUGAUCUCAUAGAAUCACGGGAGGAUCCGGCAGCAGCGUCUCGGUCUCCAUUCUCUAAAGGAGGAUAUUGAAACCCAAGUGUCUUCUUUAUUCCCUGCAUCCUGGGUGCCCCGCUGCAUGUCUCAUCUGCCACUUUGGAAAACCCAGAAGCAAGAAAGUCAUCCACUCCAGAAGAGUGUCGCUCUGCUCCUCCCGUCCCUUCUCGUAAACUCCAAAACGAACAGAACUCCAGAUGGUGCCUGUUUAUCUGUGGUUCUAACCCAAUUAGGACAAAUUAUCAUUUCUUCGGUUUGAUGUGUCUCCUGGGCAUCCUUAAACCGUCAACAAAAACCACACGGAGAUUGUAUUGUUUCAGCUUUUCCAUCAGCAACUUUUAUGAUCAGAUUUAGAAAUUGGUUGUAAAACAAAAACAAAAACAAAAAACAAACAAACAAAAACUCCCUCUGGCUUCAGCCCUCAACUUGGCAAUAGCAGACAGUUUCGUCCUCUCCUGUCCAAAAUGUAGAAGAAUUCCCCCCUGGGCAGUCUAAAGAGAGAAAGAGAAUGAGUGAGGUGCAAGUUUCUUGGCCUUUGAAAGGCCUUUCUCUUCUAAAUGAGGAUGUGUUCAUUCCGCUGGUACCGAGCAGAGGCAAAUAAAUGAACAGAUGGUAAAAAUAAAGCCGUCCUCCUAACUUAUCUUUUUGAGUUUUAAGAUGAAUGAUCCCAAGUCUAUGGAGUCGAAAUCCAGAGAAGAAAGGUCUCGUGAAUCUAGUGAAUAAAGAGAAUGUGAGUUAAUGAGCCCAGGGGUCAGCCUGGAGCAUCUAUUAUCCCAUUUGGAGCAGCGGAUCCCUACCAACCGCAGGUGGGCUUUGAGCAAAUGCCGUCACACUGAGACAUGGUGGUCUGUCUCCUGCCUGCCCACAGACGGCUGCCCAAAUCUCUCUUGCACUUUUAUUUCCAAAGAUGUUAUUGGUACUUUUUUUCUUCCAAUGGGUCAGGAUGGGGGGAGCCGUCUGGGUGACCGUGAGGGACAUGGUCACCAUCCAUGCUUCCUAGGCUUUCCAAGCAUUCAGAAGUUACUGGGUUCUUUCCCGCUGAUCCAUCACUCCUUCCCAGGAUGCACUUCAAGAGACACAAAAGAAGGGUCCUUCUUGAGGUGUCAAGUUGAGACUUGUUCGUUGCCCAAAGAGAACCUUUUCAGCAACAAUUACCACCUCAUCAUAAACACUCAGGAGAGACAUGAUGUAAAAAUGAAAUUACUGAAAACAUUUUUGGACUAACACUUGGCUUUAUAUAAACUCACAGACAAUCCUAUAAGGCACUCAAGCAGAUUAUGGGUUUGAGCAAAGCUGGAAAAUUGCUGCCAUUAUAUUGUUAUUAUUAACACCUUGUAAUUAGCCCUAAGGAAUCCCAAAGUUCUCUUUCUUGAUUUGGCUUUAAUGAAGGAAAAUUGCUACCUUCGCAAGUUGGAUGGCGCCCUUUCUGAUUAACCUUAAGUAUAGAGGACUAUUAUUUUGAAGAUGUUUGCCAUCAUGUGACUAUUAGCAUUACAUACUCCUGGGAAAGGGCUGGGGGUGGGGAAGGUGGAGAGGAAAUGGUCUUCUCGGCUCCUUUUUUUGUCCCCCUCCCCCCGCCACCCACCAAAGAAGGUGGGUGAAUCAUGGGUUUACUUCAGCUGUGGUCCUUGCUUGGAAGAUCAAGAAUGAAAGCCUGUGAAGGCCAUGACCGCAAACUCCCUGGUCUUUGCCAAGCUCCACUGGCAAGACUGUCGGCUGCCAGCUUCUCAACCUGUUGAUUGCCGAGGCUGGUGGGUAAUUGCACGGGGUGGUUUUACCAUUACCUUUAGAGUGACCCUACGGGGAUGAGAUCACCCGGGAGUUAGCACCUAGUGCAAUAAAGCAGGUUUUAUUUGCAUGUCCCAGAACUUUCCAGAGGCCCCUUCUGCAGCCUUCACAGGCACCGGGUCUCCAAUGAAACGCCGCCAACGUUAAUAAAAGAUCCCGCUGUAUAUCCCUCCCCUCCCCUCCCACAGGCACGACUUUAUUUUCAUUACCUUCUCUGGGAAAACCAUACAUUAAAGAGAACUCGUUUGAUCUUAUCUAUAAUUAAUUUGUAUUUUGAUAAUAUAGAGGAGGAAUUUUUACAUGUGAUGACUUACCUGUUCAUUAUUUUUCUCUUUUGAACUCCUGUGACCGCUUAAUAACUCAAGCUGAAGCCUGGCCCGAUUAUGACAUGUUCCCCACCCACCUUUCAGAGAGGCGAAGGUGUUGCCUCUCACACGGAGACAAAUUGCUUCAAAUAAUGACUUUGUGCGAAAUUAGUCAUACAUAAUUGAAAAAUUCUAUAGAUGAAUACCAAAGUAACUUGAGAUGAUCGGUUUACAUAGGUCUUCCUGCUGGAAACGGCUCUAUCUAACCAGGAGCUUGGCGGCUGCAAAAGUGGUUUUCUUGUUUGUGUGUUUGUUUUUCUCCCCUCUCCCCUCCUCACAAGAAGGCGGAACCGCUUCUUUCCAGGCAAGGAUGGUGCGAUGCUGUUUAUGCAGAAGCACGGCAACCACGGGGUACCAGUCCUGGGAAUGGCCAUGCUAGUUCCGCUUAACUGGCUGACAUCCCCCCAGUGGGAGAAGAGAGGUUGAUAUCUUGGAGCUAGAAAUUUCCUUCUGCCAAUCCUUCUCAAAGCUCACUAAAAAAGCAAUGGCAACCAUUCCACUUGUUUCUGGGAGCCAAAGUCUACUCGCCUCUCUGCCAACUGGGACAUCUCAUCUACCUCCCUAGCCGGCUUCUCAAUGGGAGACACAUUCACCACUAUCUCCUCUUCGUGAAACAGAGUUGGCGCCUCUGUGUUCAAAAUACCAGCCUGAGAUAGUGGGCCAGCACCACGUGCACAGACCUGGAGGUGAAUCCCACCUUGGUCUCUAACUAGGUGGGCCCCUCUGGACAAAUCUCUUAAACAGCCCAGCUCGUAGGGUUUUUUGUAAACCUGAAAAAGGAUAUAAGAAAGAUUAAACCUUGGUGUUCCUGUCAUGGCUCAGUGGUUAAUGAAUCCGACUAGGAACCAUGAGGUUGUGUGUUCGAUCCCUGGCCCUGCUCAGUGGGUUAAGGAUCCGGCGUUGCCGUGAACUGUCGUGUAGGUCGCAUAUGCGUCUCGAAUCCCAAAUUGCUGUGACUGUGGUGUAGCUUCGAUUAGACCCCUAGCCUGGGAACCUCCAUAUGCCUCAGGUACGGCCCUAGAAAAG